Molecule: long non-coding RNA, 1073 nt
Organism: Musa acuminata AAA Group (dessert banana)
Lineage: Eukaryota; Viridiplantae; Streptophyta; Magnoliopsida; Zingiberales; Musaceae
Exons: 3
Source: RefSeq, a predicted model, not a curated record
CAGACCUCCUAACCCUUCCAAAUGCUAAAAGCCUCUCCUUUUGUGCUGAGUCGUUCUAAUUCUCGUCUCCCGCUCCCCUUCAAUAAACUUCACGAUCAUCGUCGUCGUCUUCAGUGCUGUUGAGUUUGAGCAUCUAAAGGGAUCAUCAAGUGGGAUGGCUACUAAAAGUGAAAUAGGCCUGGUAAUGGUACCAUCACUGCAACUAUUUCUGAACUAUGGCUCGUCUUGAUGACUAGAGAAAGGAAAUGAUGCCUCUGUUAGGGUUAUUUAAGUUCCUUCUGAUAAAGGAAAUGAUGACUGUUCAUGAACUACUAGUCUUGAGAAGUAAAUUCAAACCUAUGUAUCUGCACAUCUUAUACUGGCUUUACUAGCAGAAGAGCCAACUGGAAAGAAUAUAGUGCAAUGGUUGAUGAGUUUGAAGGGCUGAAACUUGGUAUGAUGAAUUCAUGUAGAGUUCCAAAAUGUGACAUUCAGAGUGCAGAAUUCAUGGCUGAAUCUGUUGUGUUCGACGAGAUAAAGAACUGGUCCUUGGUUUGUCUGGUUCCUCGAAUCAUUCUAUAUCCACACUGCAGAUCAAAACUUGGAAGCAUGCCAGUGAACGAGCUGAAGGCUGAAACCCUACAGAGCCGAUCCUGGGAUAGAUUACCGGAAAUACUCAGCUGCUUGGCUUACUGAUUCCUCAAGAACAACACAAAAAGAUUGAGUGGUUUCAGAUACUUAGUAGGUUUUCCCUUUCUUUUCUUUUUUUCUCUUUUUUGCUUCAAACUCGAAUUUGGCACCAAGUUGUUGUUUCAUCCAAAUGUAUAGCAUAUCAGACCUUUCUAGCAAGUUCAGCACAAGAAAGAUUAUUACAAUACAGCAGUACAAAACUUCCAAGUCCUUGACAUGUCUGUAUUGUGAGAUGUAGAUUUCUGGUGCCAUUUCGUUUCUCAUUUGCUAGGAAUCCUUUAUUGACUUUGGUUGCUUUCUGAUUAGAGAACCACCAUAGCUGUGCUGGUGUUGAUCUCCUCAAAAAUGGUUGUAGUUUGAUCUCCCCAGAUUCCUUGUAUUGCUAUUCCACAUAUCAUAUUUAA